UGAAGUCUAUAACACUUCCCCAAACAGAGAAGCAUCAGUUGUUUGCUAAGCAACAAGAAGGGGCAAGGAAAGAUGUGGAGCAUGCUUUUGGGGUAAUGCAGUCCCGUUUUUCCAUUGUUCGUCGGCCUGCACGUCUAUGGAAGAGAAAGAGUAUUGGAAGGAUCAUGAAAGCUUGCAUCAUUCUCCACAAUAUGAUAGUGGAAGAUGAAAGAGAGGAUGCUAAUAUUCAUAUUGACUUGAAUGAGAAUCCGGGGGCAUCCUUUGCUCUACCUCCUGAAGUGAACACUAGUCGUAAUCCAUGCUUUUCUGAUGUCAUGCGUAGAAAAGUUGCUAUUCGAGAUCGUCCACAGCAUACCCAACUUAAAAAUGAUCUCAUUGAGCACAUUUCGCAUAAGUUCGGAAAUAGGCAACAUAACUAGCCAUGGAAUCAAGACUGGGCAUGGUGUACUGAAUGUUGCAGAUGCUAGUUGCAGUGUUGCCACUUCGAUGCAAAUGGGAUGGCUGCUCCAUUGUACCGAAGUUCACCUGUCAACUUUGGCUUUAUGCUUCUAUCACCAUCUUCUAAUCAAGUGGAUUCCGUACCAGUGAACUUAUUUAGUACUAUUUUUAGUUAAUGGCCUGUGAGCCAACGAAUUAUCCUAUUUAGUAUUGCUUUUAGUUAAUGGUAUGUGUGCGACCGAACUUAUUUGGAUUGUUGUUUGGAAUUUGUCAUCUCAGAUUAUGUUGUUUGGUAUAAUGCUAUGGAUAAGCAUAUUUGUUUUCUAGUUGAA
Molecule: long non-coding RNA, 770 nt
Organism: Setaria italica (foxtail millet)
Lineage: Eukaryota; Viridiplantae; Streptophyta; Magnoliopsida; Poales; Poaceae
Exons: 3
Source: RefSeq, a predicted model, not a curated record